This 638-nucleotide ribosomal RNA is filed under the name Hanseniaspora uvarum. Its description in RNAcentral is "partial 26S ribosomal RNA". It matches the Rfam family "Eukaryotic large subunit ribosomal RNA", at positions 66 to 664 of the family's 3401-position model. Lineage: Eukaryota; Fungi; Ascomycota; Saccharomycetes; Saccharomycodales; Saccharomycodaceae. The record is from RNAcentral.
CACUGGGGAUUACUUAGUACGGCGAGUGAAGCGGUAAAAGCUCAAAUUUGAAAUCUGGUACUUUCAGUGCCCGAGUUGUAAUUUGUAGAAUUUGUCUUUGAUUAGGUCCUUGUCUAUGUUCCUUGGAACAGGACGUCAUAGAGGGUGAGAAUCCCGUUUGGCGAGGAUACCUUUUCUCUGUAAGACUUUUUCGAAGAGUCGAGUUGUUUGGGAAUGCAGCUCAAAGUGGGUGGUAAAUUCCAUCUAAAGCUAAAUAUUGGCGAGAGACCGAUAGCGAACAAGUACAGUGAUGGAAAGAUGAAAAGAACUUUGAAAAGAGAGUGAAAAAGUACGUGAAAUUGUUGAAAGGGAAGGGCAUUUGAUCAGACAUGGUGUUUUUUGCAUGCACUCGCCUCUCGUGGGCUUGGGCCUCUCAAAAAUUUCACUGGGCCAACAUCAAUUCUGGCAGCAGGAUAAAUCAUUAAGAAUGUAGCUACUUCGGUAGUGUUAUAGCUUUUUGGAAUACUGUUAGCCGGGAUUGAGGACUGCGCUUCGGCAAGGAUGUUGGCAUAAUGGUUAAAUGCCGCCCGUCUGAAAAAGGGGAACAAAAAAACCAAAAAAAAAAAAAAAAAAAAAAAAAAAAAAAAAAAAAGGAAAAA